RNAcentral lists this unclassified non-coding RNA (299 nucleotides) under plant metagenome. Its description in RNAcentral is "partial contains 5.8S ribosomal RNA, internal transcribed spacer 2, and large subunit ribosomal RNA". The stretch from base 1 to 105 matches the Rfam family "5.8S ribosomal RNA", at positions 50 to 154 of the family's 154-position model. The record is from RNAcentral.
GAAAUGCGAUAAGUAAUGUGAAUUGCAGAAUUCAGUGAAUCAUCGAAUCUUUGAACGCACAUUGCGCUCGCUAGUAUUCUGGCGAGCAUGCCUGUUCGAGCGUCAUUUCAACCAUCAAGCUCUGCUUGCGUUGGGGAUCCGCGGCUGCCCGCGGUCCCUCAAAAACAGUGGCGGGCUCGCUAGUCACACCGAGCGUAGUAACUCUACAUCGCUAUGGUCGUGCGGCGGGUUCUUGCCGUAAAACCCCCAAUUUCUAAGGUUGACCUCGGAUCAGGUAGGAAUACCCGCUGAACUUAAGC